UACGAAGGGGGCAAGCGUUGUUCGGAAUUACUGGGCGUAAGGGCUCGUAGGCGGCCAACUAAGUCAGACGUGAAAUCCCUCGGCUCAACCGAGGAACUGCGUCCGAUACUGGAUGGCUUGAAUCCGGGAGAGGGAUGCGGAAUUCCAGGUGUAGCGGUGAAAUGCGUAGAUAUCUGGAGGAACACCGGUGGCGAAGGCGGCAUCCUGGACCGGCAUUGACGCUGAGGAGCGAAAGCCAGGGGAGCAAACGGG
RNAcentral lists this ribosomal RNA (252 nucleotides) under uncultured bacterium. RNAcentral's name for it is "partial 16S ribosomal RNA". It matches the Rfam family "Bacterial small subunit ribosomal RNA", at positions 524 to 776 of the family's 1533-position model. The record is from RNAcentral.